RNAcentral lists this transfer RNA (68 nucleotides) under Neocaridina denticulata (Japanese swamp shrimp). RNAcentral describes it as "tRNA-Asp". It matches the Rfam family "tRNA". From Rfam's summary of the family: Transfer RNA (tRNA) molecules are approximately 80 nucleotides in length. Lineage: Eukaryota; Metazoa; Arthropoda; Malacostraca; Decapoda; Atyidae. RNAcentral also lists the same sequence under 3 other names. The record is from RNAcentral.
UAAAAAUUAGUUAAAUUAAUAACAUAAGCUUGUCAAGCUUAAAUAAUUGCUUCAAGCAAUAUUUUUAU